Long non-coding RNA from Sinocyclocheilus rhinocerous, 229 nucleotides. RefSeq lists it as uncharacterized. The transcript has 3 exons. The record is from RefSeq and is a predicted model, not a curated record. Lineage: Eukaryota; Metazoa; Chordata; Actinopteri; Cypriniformes; Cyprinidae.
GGCGAACUCUCCACCAGUGGUGGUAAAUACAGACACACUGGAUGGCUCACCGUAUGUCAAUGGAGCAGAAGGAGAGAUCGAAUAUGAAGAGAUCACGUUGGAAAGGGGGAACUCUGGGCUAGGCUUCAGUAUCGCCGGAGGGACUGAUAACCCUCAUGUCGGAGACGACCCCAGCAUCUUCAUCACCAAGAUCAUUCCAGGAGGAGCCGCCGCACAAGACGGGAGACUC